UAGGAUUUCAGAGCUGCUUUCUGCCCACAGAAAAAAAUAUUUCUGAUAUGCUAAACAAAUUUUUGGAGGUAAAUUAGCAGCGGGACUUACUUGGCCAUUGCUGUCCCUCGCCUUCAGACAAGU
RNAcentral lists this small nucleolar RNA (123 nucleotides) under Fukomys damarensis (Damara mole-rat). The record is from RNAcentral. Lineage: Eukaryota; Metazoa; Chordata; Mammalia; Rodentia; Bathyergidae.